This is a long non-coding RNA of Chenopodium quinoa (quinoa), 1947 nucleotides long. RefSeq lists it as uncharacterized. The record is from RefSeq and is a predicted model, not a curated record. NCBI's taxonomy places the organism in Eukaryota, Viridiplantae, Streptophyta, Magnoliopsida, Caryophyllales, Amaranthaceae. The transcript is spliced from 2 exons.
GAACAAAGAAUUGUUUGAUCAUUUGAUAAAUGAGGAAAGAAUUAUUCACUAGUAGAAAAAAGUCAAUAGGAAGCCCCAAAUGAGAAGCGGUUUUUAAAAUCUGCUUUCUAUUCCCUACAAAAACCCGCCCAAAAAAAACACCAGGAUUGGAAUGGGAAGCGGUUUGGGUUGAACCGCUCCCAAAAAUAUAAUGGGAAGCGGUUCAAACCGCUGCCCUUUAUGUUAUUAUAUUUUUCUCACCCCUCUCAUAGCCUCGUUCACUCUCCUCAUACCUCACUUCCUCAAUUCUCUCUCCCUUUCCUAGUCCCCCCACUCCUUCUCCUCAAAGAUGAAGGCAACCAUCGCCGCAGCCGCAACCACAUCCACAACCACCGCCGCUCACAAAUUAAAUUCUCUCUUUCAUCUUCCUCCUCAUUCACUGAUGGUCACGGUGGUCGCGAGCAUAACGACGGUGCGAUUGGUUUUGAUUGGUGUUCAUGGUAUGAGCUUCUUUAAAUUUUCCCCUUUAAAUUUCAAAUUUUAGGUUCCUUUGCAUAAUUACUAGUUCAAAUCUCUGAUUUUUUUCGAUUUCUAGGGUUUCGAUUUGUUUCUAGGGUGGUGGUUGUUUCAGGGAGAGAAUGGGUGGAUGGUUGUGCUUUCGGGGAGCGGGAAGGUGGGUACUGGUGCUUUUGGAGAGAGGGUGGGUUUUAGUGGUGGUUAACAGGGUGAAUGUUGGUGGUGGCAGGGUGGUGUUGAGAAAGGUGUUGGUGUUGGUUGAAUGACCUCUAAUUUGGCUAUUUUUGGUAGGGAUUUAGGUUUAGAACUAGACAACUUUGCAGUCACUUGCGCGAUUGUGUUUAUGUUUCUAAACAGAGAAGUUCACUGUAAAGUUAGGAACUUAGGAUCAAUAUUUGUUAUUCAAUCUUAAUGCAGUGAUGCAAUCCCUAUCUAUUUACAGAAUCUUCCUCUGCAAUAGUUUAUUUACCAUAAAUUCAUUGAAUCUCUAUUGGAUGGUUACUGAAAUGUGACUUAUAUUAAUUCUUAACAAGAAUGGGAAAUGCUUACUGUCAGAAGAAAAGAAUGAGAAAUGGUCAUUGUAAUUUCUUGUUUACAUACGGGGUCUACCGUCUAGUUCCAGUUUUAGCAUUUUGAUGAUUGAUACACUUAGUUCGAACCGUGUGGUGCUGGUGCUAGUUGUUCAUGCCAAGCAUUUGGCUUGUUUGGGUGCUGCUCUAUUCUGUUUCAAUUUAUUCAAUUUUCUGCUGUUCCUGUUCUGUUUCAAUUUAUUUAAUUGGCUACUCUUCCUGUUCUGUUUCAAUUUAUUCAUAUGCCUGCUGCUUCGAAUGUGGGCAAAACCGACCCUGCUGCUGCUUCAAAUGAGGGAAAAUGGAUCCUCCUCCGGUGACGAUUUUUGAACCCUUAUCUUUAUUGAUUUUUUUACCAUAAUUGUUAAUUGUUGGGGAUUGUGAAAUUGAGUCUCUGGUUAUAUGUCAAUUUUUUGGUUGCAUUGAGAAGGAGGUUUGUAUGUACUUGAUUUGGUUGCCAAUAACAUGCUUUGGUUGCCAUCCUGUUAUUUUUUUUUUUUGGUAGGGAGGCUGCACAGCCCAGCCCCUGCCCACCCAGGCAGGCUGCACAGCCAUCACACCAGCUAGCCAGGCUCCACAGCCAGCACACCAGCUAGCCAGGCUCCACAGCCAGCACACCAGCCAGACAAGUCUUUGAGGGGCCAUGUCCUAAACAUGAUUAUUUGCAGGUUCUAUCUUUUGUGGUGUGGACGUGUGGGUGGUUUCUGCUAUGUAGCUGUAGCUGCUGUUGGUGCUGGUUGUUCGUGCUGCUGGUUAUAAGUACUUAUAUAUGAUUUGUAUAUUUUAACAAUAAUUAUAAGUAGUACGUAGUAUUUGUAAAUAUCAAUUUAAUAUAUUUGGUGUAAUUACAUAUUAUUGGUAAUAAAAUUUAUUAAUGAUGAUA